This is a non-coding RNA of Chlorocebus sabaeus (green monkey), 1300 nucleotides long. NCBI's taxonomy places the organism in Eukaryota, Metazoa, Chordata, Mammalia, Primates, Cercopithecidae. The record is from RefSeq and is a predicted model, not a curated record.
CAGUCCAGCUUAGGCGACAGAGCAAGACUCUGUCUCAAAAAAAAUAAUAAAAAUAAAGUUACAUUUGAUCCGGUUCUCCCACCGCCCCCGCUGUGGGUCUCAGAAGCUCGCGCUGCGGGAGGAGUGGUAGUGGCCAGGCAGCCCAGUUUCGCGAAGGCUCUCUGCGCGCAGCAGCCCACAGGCACCCGGCACGCACCUUCCCUGCCGCCAGGAUGCCCAGGAGGAAGGUCAACUCUGCGAAGGGGCCGCCAAGGAAGAGCCCAAGAGGAGAUUGGCGCGGUUGUCAGCUAAACCUCCUGCAAAAGUGGAAGCGAAACCGAAAAAGGCAACAGCGAAGCUUCAGACAAAAAAGUGCAAACAAAAGGGAAAAGUGGAGCAAAGGGAAAUCAGGCCGAAGUGGCUAACCAAGAAACUAAAGAAGAUUUACCUGUAGAAAGCGGGGAAACGAAAACUGAGGAGAGUCCAGCCUCUGAUGAAGCAGGAGAGAAAGAAGCCAAGUCUGAUUAAUACAUAUACCAUGUCUUACCAGUGGUCCCUGUCUCCCUUCUUGUACAAUCCAGAGGAAUAUUUUUAUCAACUAUUUUGUAAAUGCAAGUUUUUUAGUAGCUCUAGAAACAUUUUUAAGAAGGAGGGAAUCCCACCUCAUCCCAUUUUUUAAGUGUAAAUGCUUUUUUUUAAGAGGUGAAAUCAUUUGCUGGUGGUUUAUUUUUUGGUACAACCAGAAAAUACUGUGGGAUAUUGAAUUAUGGGAGGCUUUGACUGUCUCGGGUGUCAGCUUAAUAUUCCAUACAUGGGGGGUUAGUUUUUAUAUCCUAUAAUACAAAGCAUAUUAAAUGGCAAUAUGGAGUCAGUCCUGCAUUUAAUGUCUUGAACAUUUUAAAUUACUUCCAUUCUCAUGUUGUUUUUUAGUAGAAUUGUUUCCUAAAGAAAACCACUCCUUGAUCAUGGCGCUCCCUGUCAGAAUUGUGUGCACUCUGUAACAUGUUUGGUUGUGGUAGUCCUGUUUUCCUAAUAACUUUGUUACUGUGCUGUGAAAGAUUACAAAUUUGAAUAUGUAGUGUAUAUGCUAUUCAGUUGUGAACUGGUGGCCCCUAUGUAAACAGCUGAGCAACAUGUGAAGAUACUGGUACUUGAUAGCCUCUUAAGGAAAAUUUGCUUCCAAAUUUUAAGCUGGAAAGUCACUGGAAUAACUUUAAAAAAGAAUUACAAUACAUGGCUUUUUAGAAUUUCGUUACAUAUGUUAAGAAUUAUGUACAAAUUGAAAUGUCUGUACUGAUCUUCAACCAAUAAAAUCUCAAUU